Bufo bufo (common toad) is the source of this 5280-nucleotide long non-coding RNA. RefSeq lists it as uncharacterized. The transcript has 2 exons. Lineage: Eukaryota; Metazoa; Chordata; Amphibia; Anura; Bufonidae. The record is from RefSeq and is a predicted model, not a curated record.
UUUAUCACGCGCGUGCAAAACGCAUUGCACCCGCGCGAUAAAAACUGAACAACGGAACGCAAUCGCAGUCAAACUACCUACUCGGCGGGUUUGCUGCAACGCAUCCGGACCUUAUCCGGACACGCUCGUGUGAAAGAGGCCUAAAUGUGAUGUGUUCUCCAAAGUCCAUUAAGCAGCCUAUCUGCACUUGUAUGUUCCUGGACGAGUUCCUCGUUGGGGUGCACCCUAAGAAUUGGGCAAUACUAUUUGUAAUCCACUGGUAAAUGUCUGUCUCUUUAAAUCAGACUUCCCUAUUUGUAAUCCACAGGUAAAUGAUGUCUGUCCCUUUGAUUGCAGCUGUAAUCCUUACUCCAGCUCCCAGUAUAUAACACCCUAUAAGCAGCCAAUGAGAUAGGAAGGCGUCAGCGUAUGAGUCCCUCAGGGCUUUGCAUUAACUCGCAGCCCAUACACCGCAAUGCAACUGUACUUGGAGCAUUAUUGUCUGUCCAAAUGCCACUUCCUUGAGCAGGUUCUUGGUGCUUUCUUUUAUUUCCUGGUCCACUCCAGAACUGGAUCCUACAGACAUGACACUCCUGGGGUCGUCGCUGCAAACCUCCCCUUCGUGCUGACGUCUCCACUGUGAGCCGGUCCAUUCCCUUCCAGAAUCUGCAGAGAAGAUUUCUUCUGGUCUCCAGCAGCACCAAGCACGGGCUCCGUCUGCUCACUUCCUGCUCCUCCAGGCCCCUCCCCCGCUUCAUAGGCAAGUGUGAUGCAAUAAGUCAAGUGCAGUGUCAAACCUGCCUAUACAGUCUACUAUCACACUUGUAGGGGUCAAAAACAGCCCAUAAAUUAGCUAAUCACCAACUUGCAAACAAAACAGGUUAUUAAUAUCACUCUUAUAGGCAGCUCCAUAUAGACUUUUAGCAUGUUAUUCUUUGCUGCCAUCUACUGACCAAAGUGAGACAUUGCAGUAAUUAUACAAUUUACACAUGCAGAGUAAUACAUUUUCGGUCCCUUGCCCCACAUCCUUACAUAGAUGCCAGAGGCUACAACCUGUUCUACAUGUGAGAUUAUGGUAGAUGCUGAAGGCUGCAGACCGUUCUACAUGUGACAUUGUGGUAGAUGCUGGAGGCUACAGCCCCUUCAACACGUGACAAUGUGGUACAUGCCGGAGGCUAUAACCCAUUCUACAUAUGAGAAUGUGGUAGAUGCCGGAGGCUAUAACCCAUUCUACAUGUGAGAAUGUGGUAGAUGCCUGAGGCUAUAACCCAUUCUACAUAUGAAAAUGUAGUAGAUGCCGGAGGCUAUAACCCAUUCUACAUGUGAGCAUGUGGUAGAUGCCGGAGGCUAUAACCCAUUCUACAUGCGAGAAUGUGGUAGAUGACAGAGGCUACAACCCGUUCCACAUAUGACAAUGUGGUAGAUGAUGGAGGCUAUAACUCGUUCUACAUGUGAGAAUGUGGUAGAUGCCGGAGGCUAUAACUCGUUCUACAUAUGAUAAUGUGGUAGAUGCCGGAGGCUAUAACCCGUUCUACAUGUGAGCAUGUGGUGGAUGCCGGAGGCUAUAACCCGUUCUACAUGUGAGAACGUGGUAGAUGCCGGAAGCUAUAACCCGUUCUACAUAUGAGAAUGUGGUAGAUGCCGGAGGCUAUAACUCAUUCUACAUAUGAGAAUGUGGUAGAUGCCGGAGGCUAUAACCCGUUCUACAUAUGAGCAUGUGGUAGAUGCCGGAGGCUAUAACCCAUUAUACAUGUGAGAAUGUGGUAGAUGCCGGAGGCUAUAACCCAUUCUACAUAUAAUAUUGUGGUAGAUGCCAGAGGCUAUAACCCGUUCUACAUGUGAGAAUGUGGUAGAUGCCGAAGGCUACAACCCGUUCUACAUGUGAGAAUGUGGUAGAUGCCGGAGGCUACAACCCGUUCUACAUAUGAUAAUGUGGUAGAUGCCGGAGGCUACAACCCGUUCUACAUAUGAUAAUGUGGUAGAUGCCGGGGGCUACAACCCGUUCUACAUAUGAUAAUGUGGUAGAUGCCGGAGGCUACAACCCGUUCUACAUAUGAUAAUGUGGUAGAUGCCGAAGGCUAUAACCCGUUCUACAUGUGAGAAUGUGGUAGAUGCCGGAGGCUAUAACCCGUUCUACAUAUGAUAAUGUGGUAGAUGCCGAAGGCUAUAACCCGUUCUACAUGUGAGAAUGUGGUAGAUGCCGGAGGCUAUAACCCGUUCUACAUGUGAGAAUGUGGUAGAUGCCUGAGGCUAUAACCCAUUCUAAAAGUGAGAAUGUGGUAGAUGCCGGAGGCUACAACCCAUUCUACAUAUGAUAAUGUGGUAGAUGCCGAAAGCUAUAACUCGUUCUACAUGUGAGAAUGUGGUAGAUGCCGGGGGCUACAACCCGUUCUACAUAUGAUAAUGUGGUAGAUACUGAAGGCUAUAACUCGUUCUAUAUGUGAGAAUGUGGUAGAUGCCGGAGGCUACAACCCGUUCUACAUAUGAUAAUGUGGUAGAUGCCGAAAGCUAUAACUCGUUCUACAUGCGAGAAUGCGGUAGAUGCCGGAGGCUAUAACCCCUUCUACAUGUGAGAAUGUGGUAGAUGCCGGAGGCUAUAACCCGUUCUACAUGUGAGAAUGUGGUAGAUGCCUGAGGCUAUAACCCCUUCUACAUGUGAGAAUGUGGUAGAUGCCGGAGGCUAUAACCCGUUCUACAUGUGAGAAUGUGGUAGAUGCCUGAGGCUAUAACCCAUUCUAAAAGUGAGAAUGUGGUAGAUGCCGGGGGCUACAACCCGUUCUACAUAUGAUAAUGUGGUAGAUGCCGAAAGCUAUAACUCGUUCUACAUGUGAGAAUGUGGUAGAUGCCGGAGGCUAUAACUCGUUCUACAUGUGAGAAUGUGGUAGAUGCCGAAGGUUACAACCCAUUCUACAUAUGAUAAUGUGGUAGAUGCCGAAGGCUAUAACUCGUUCUACAUGUGAGAAUGUGGUAGAUGCCGGAGGUUACAACCCGUUCUACAUAUGAUAAUGUGGUAGAUGCCGAAGCCUAUAACUCGUUCUACAUGUGAGAAUGUGGUAGAUGCCGGAGGCUACAACCCGUUCUACAUAUGAUAAUGUGGUAGAUGCUGAAGGCUAUAACUCGUUCUACAUGUGAGAAUGUGGUAGAUGCCGGAGGCUACAACCCGUUCUACAUAUGAUAAUGUGGUAGAUGCCGAAGGCUAUAACCCGUUCUACAUGUGAGAAUGUGGUAGAUGCCGGAGGCUAUAACCCGUUCUACAUAUGAUAAUGUGGUAGAUGCCAAAGCCUAUAACUCGUUCUACAUGUGAGAAUGUGGUAGAUGCCGGGGGCUACAACCCGUUCUACAUAUGAUAAUGUGGUAGAUGCCGAAGGCUAUAACUCGUUCUACAUGUGAGAAUGUGGUAGAUGCUGGAGGCUACAACCCGUUCUUCAUAUGAUAAUGUGGUAGAUUCCGGAGGCUACAACCCGUUCUACAUAUGAUAAUGUGGUAGAUGCUGAAGGCUAUAACUCGUUCUACAUGUGAGAAUGUGGUAGAUGCCGGAGGCUAUAACCCGUUCUACAUAUGAGAAUGUGGUAGAUGCCGGAGGCUAUAACCCGUUCUACAUGUGAGAAUGUGGUAGAUGCCGGAGGCUAUAACCCAUUCUACAUGUGAGAAUGUGGUAGAUGCCGGAGGCUACAACCCGUUCUACAUAUGAUAAUGUGGUAGAUGCCGAAGUCUAUAACCCGUUCUACAUGUGAGAAUGUGGUAGAUGCCGGAGGCUAUAACCCGUUCUACAUGUGAGAAUGUGGUAGAUGCCGGAGGCUAUAACCCGUUCUACAUAUGAUAAUGUGGUAGAUGCCGAAGUCUAUAACCCGUUCUACAUGUGAGAAUGUAGUAGAUGCCGGAGGCUAUAACCCGUUCUACAUGUGAGAAUGUGGUAGAUGCCGGAGGCUAUAACCCAUUCUACAUGUGAGAAUGUGGUAGAUGCCGGGGGCUACAACCCGUUCUACAUAUGAUAAUGUGGUAGAUGCCGAAGGCUAUAACUCGUUCUACAUGUGAGAAUGUGGUAGAUGCCGAAAGCUAUAACUCGUUCUACAUGUGAGAAUGUGGUAGAUGCCGGAGGUUACAACCCAUUCUACAUAUGAUAAUGUGGUAGAUGCCGAAGGCUAUAACCCGUUCUACAUGUGAGAAUGUGGUAGAUGCCGGAGGUUACAACCCGUUCUACAUGUGAGAAUUUGGUAGAUGCCGGAGGCUGCAGCCCGUUCUACAUGUGAGAAUGUGGUAGAUGCCGGAGGUUACAACCCGUUCUACAUAUGAUAAUGUGGUAGAUGCCGAAGGCUAUAACCCGUUCUACAUGUGAGAAUGUGGUAGAUGCCGGAGGUUACAACCCGUUCUACAUAUGAUAAUGUGGUAGAUGCCGGAGGCUAUAACCCGUUCUACAUGUGAGAAUGUGGUACAAUGUUUUCCACUUGCAUCAAACUUCAUUGAUCUUCUAUCUCCUGCACUUGCACUCCCCCGAUUCUUUGUGUUCUUUACUUCUUUCCUCUCAGCUUCCAGGGAUGAUGUGUCUUCUAGAUUAGACCUCUCACUCUCUGGAGUGGACCUCUCACUGGACAGACAGCUCAGCUGCCAUCUCCAGACCCACUGGCUGAUGCGAUCAGGCUACACAUGACUCGGAGGGGGCAGGGCCAGACUCCUCCUACUGGGCACAGCUUGUGGAAGCACACUGAUGGCACAGGGAAGUACAUUAACCCUUUAAACAACAAAUUAACCCUUGGCAGUGAUCUCCUGGGUCACAUAACAUGUCUCAGACAGGUGGGGGCCUUGUGGGUGGGUGCAGUGGUUUUCAUGACACAGGACACCUAAUGUGUACUGGAUCAUGUUUAUUGCACAGGUUUCCAUACAUUUUGGCUUAAUACACAGCUGCUAUACAUUGUACAUCCCACAAUAUUAACCCCGUAAUCACCAGCAUCCAAUGAGCAGUAGGGGAGGGUAGAGGACUCCCAGUCUACUGCGCAGCAUCUAUUCGGCACCAGUCUCUCGAGAGGAGACCGUGUAACCUCGACUUCGGAAAUGAGGUUUCUGAGCUGACUGGUGUCACAGCAUGGGCGGUCCCUGUUGUGUCUCAUGAGAAUGAUAUGACCAGGGUGGUCCCUGCUGUGUCACAUGACAGUGAUAUGACAUGGGCAGUCCCUGUUGUGUCACAUGAGAAUGAUAUGAAAUCGGCGGUCCCUGCUGUGUCACAUGACAUGGACGGUCCUUAAUGUGUCACAUGACAUGGACGGUCCUUAAUGUGUCACAUGACAUGGACCGUCCUUAAUGUGU